GAACCGCGGGCGUCUUUUGACCUGGCAUCCAAAACUAUUGGGCUAGAGCGUUGGGAGAGGAAGAUGGAAUUAGUUGUGUAGGGGUAAAAUCCGUAGAGAUAACUAGGAAUACCAAAAGCGAAGGCAAUCUUCUGGAACACUACUGACGCUGAGGCGCGAAGGCGUGGGGAGCAAACAGGAUUAGAUACCCUGGUAGUCCACGCAGUAAACGAUGAAUGUUAGUCGUCGGGUAGCUAGUCUAUUCGGUGAUGCAGCUAACGCAUUAAACAUUCCGCCUGGGGAGUACGGUCGCAAGAUUAAAACUCAAAGGAAUAGACGGGGACCCGCACAAGUGGUGGAGCAUGUGGUUUAAUUCGAAGAUACGCGAAGAACCUUACCUAGCCUUGACAUAUAUUAGAACAGACCAGAGAUGGACUGGUGCCUUCGGGAGCUUUUAUACAGGUGCUGCACGGCUGUCGUCAGCUCGUGUCGUGAGAUGUUGGGUUAAGUCCCGCAACGAGCGCAACCCUCGUCACUAGUUACUAACGGUUCGGCCGAGGACUCUAGUGAGACUGCCUUCGCAAGGAGGAGGAAGGUGAGGACGACGUCAAGUCAUCAUGGCCCUUACGGCCUAGGGCAACACACGUGCUACAAUGGCCAGGGACAAUGAGACGCGAUACCGCGAGGUGGAGCAAAUCUAUAAAACCUGGUCCUCAGUUCGGAUUGUAGUCUGCAACUCCGACUACCAUGAAGCCUGGAAUCACCUAGUAAUCCGUAGAUCAGCCUAUGCUAACGGUGAAUACGU
RNAcentral lists this ribosomal RNA (784 nucleotides) under uncultured bacterium. Its description in RNAcentral is "bacterial SSU rRNA". It matches the Rfam family "Bacterial small subunit ribosomal RNA", at positions 605 to 1371 of the family's 1533-position model. The record is from RNAcentral.